RNAcentral lists this long non-coding RNA (556 nucleotides) under Anas platyrhynchos platyrhynchos (common mallard). RNAcentral describes it as "lncRNA (ENSAPLG00000017712.1)". The record is from RNAcentral. Lineage: Eukaryota; Metazoa; Chordata; Aves; Anseriformes; Anatidae.
GCUUUGUACAAAUAUACUAACAGUUCUGCUUCACCCUGUUUCCUCCCAUGCACGUCACUUGUUAGCAUGAUUUAUUUAUUAUAUUAAGUCUAGGAAAAAUAUUCAUUUGCUUAGGACUCAACUCAUAGGAACAGAAAGUGCCGAGGUAGGCGCUUGAUGGUUUGGCUGGCAGCUGGACUGCAUCUUCAUUGCAGGCUGUCAGGAACUGGCGUGUGACUCCACUUAGCGUGACGGGGAACCUCACACCCACAGCUCCUGGUGCUGAGAGACUUUGCAUGCUGAGCGUGUCUGUCACUGAGCUUUUCUCACCUUGAGGAAGAUUGGAGCCAAGUGCUCUGGGAUGCCUUUGUGUGCCAUCGACUGAUGCAGGGCUCAUAAAGGAUUGUUGGCAUUACCACAGGGAGCUGCUAACAGAAGGAAACCAACGUGUGUGCAUGCGUGCAAGUACGUGCAAGGACUCUGCACUACAUGGCACAAGGCUCAUGAUUCAUCCGAGAAGCACUACACAGAAUUAGAUUCCCAAGGGAGCAGAGGAAGGCAUUUUAUUUCACAAGGA